CCUACGGGUGACAGCAGUGGGGAAUAUUGGGCAAUGGGCGCAAGCCUGACCCAGCAACGCCGCGUGAAGGAAGAAGGCUUUCGGGUUGUAAACUUCUUUUGUCAGGGAAGAGUAGAAGACGGUACCUGACGAAUAAGCCACGGCUAACUACGUGCCAGCAGCCGCGGUAAUACGUAGGUGGCAAGCGUUGUACGGAUUUACCGGGUGUAAAGGGCGGGUAGGCGGGUUGACAAGUCAGAUGUGAAAUCCUGCGGCUUAACCGCAGAACUGCAUUUGAAACUGUUGAUCUUGAGUACUGGAGAGGCAGACGGAAUUCCUAGUGUAGCGGUGAAAUGCGUAGAUAUUAGGAGGAACACCAGUGGCGAAGGCGGUCUGCUGGACAGCAACUGACGGUGAGGCGCGAAAGCGUGGGGAGCAAACAGGAUUAGAUACCCGAGUAGUC
RNAcentral lists this ribosomal RNA (442 nucleotides) under uncultured bacterium. Its description in RNAcentral is "partial 16S ribosomal RNA". It matches the Rfam family "Bacterial small subunit ribosomal RNA", at positions 338 to 795 of the family's 1533-position model. The record is from RNAcentral.